Molecule: long non-coding RNA, 655 nt
Organism: Camelina sativa (false flax)
Lineage: Eukaryota; Viridiplantae; Streptophyta; Magnoliopsida; Brassicales; Brassicaceae
Source: RefSeq, a predicted model, not a curated record
UCAAACCUAAAAAUUUCUUUUGCCUCUCGAUCUUCGUUGCUCCGAUACUGGGUGCUUAAUUCCUUCGUCUAUCCUCGAUUUCUUCGUUUGAUCUCCAUGUUGGCUGCUUAAUUUUGAUUCUGUUGGAUCUCUGUCCUGCAUAGGCGACUAUGAUAUGCAUCGACAACUCGGAGUGGAUGCGAAACGGAGAUUACUCUCCGUGUAGGUUACAGGCUCAGACGGAAGCUGUUAAUCUUCUUUACGGGGCUAAAACCCACGUAUAUAUAUUAACACAUCUCGCUUUUGGAUUCGAUUUAUUAGGGUUUUGUGGGUUUACCUCUGAGAUUUUGAUUUAAGGGAUCUUUCGAUUUUCCAGUCAAUCUGGAGAAUACGGUGGGGAUUUUGACUAUGGCUGGCAAAGGAGUUUGAGUUUUGACUACUUCUACCUCUGAUCUUGGCAAAAUCUUGGCCUGUAUGCACAGCCUUGAUGUUGGAGGUGAGAUCAACUUAACGGCGACCAUCCAGAUUGCUCAGCUUGCUUUUAAGCAUCGCCAAAACAAGAAUCAACGCCAACGGAUUAUUGUUUUUGCUGGAAGCCCUAUCAAGUAUGAAAAGAAGGCCCUAUAACUACUUUCUUUGUCCUCUUCUGAUUUUAUCCGUUUGUGGUUAAUUUUUA